RNAcentral lists this ribosomal RNA (492 nucleotides) under uncultured bacterium. RNAcentral describes it as "partial 16S ribosomal RNA". It matches the Rfam family "Bacterial small subunit ribosomal RNA", at positions 29 to 507 of the family's 1533-position model. The record is from RNAcentral.
AGUGAACGCUGGCGGUAGGCCUAACACAUGCAAGUCGAACGGCAGCACAGUAAGAGCUUGCUCUUACGGGUGACGAGUGGCGGACGGGUGAGGAAUACAUCGGAAUCUACUUUUUCGUGGGGGAUAACGUAGGGAAACUUACGCUAAUACCGCAUACGACCUACGGGUGAAAGCAGGGGAUCUUCGGACCUUGCGCGAAUGAAUGAGCCGAUGUCGGAUUAGCUAGUUGGCGGGGUAAAGGCCCACCAAGGCGACGAUCCGUAGCUGGUCUGAGAGGAUGAUCAGCCACACUGGAACUGAGACACGGUCCAGACUCCUACGGGAGGCAGCAGUGGGGAAUAUUGGACAAUGGGCGCAAGCCUGAUCCAGCCAUACCGCGUGGGUGAAGAAGGCCUUCGGGUUGUAAAGUCCUUUUGUUGGGAAAGAAAAGCAGCAGGUUAAUACCCCGCUGUUCUGACGGUACCCAAAGAAUAAGCACCGGCUAACUUCGUG